GGGGGGGGGGGGGGGGGGGGGGGGGGGGGGGGGGGGGGGGGGGGGGGGCCUGCGGGUGGGGGGGGCACGAGGGGGGGACGGGGGGGUAAGGCGGGAGUAAGCUGCGCUGGGCUUUGGGAUCACUUCAGGAAAAUGGAGGUAAUACCGGCUCGUAGCUGCGGCUGCAUGGUGGGGGGUGGAAAGUUUCGGCGGUCGGGGAUGGACGAUCGGCGUAUCCGCUUGUUGGUGGUGUGUUGGUUUACCAAGGCUUUGACGGGUCGCAGGCCUGUGAGGUGGACCGGCCACAUUGGGACUGAGAUACGGCCCAGACUCCUACGGGAGGCAGCAGUGGGGAAUAUUGCACAAUGGGCGGAAGCCUGAUGCAGCAACGCCGCGUGCGGGAUGACGGCCUUCGGGUUGUAAACCGCUUUCGCCGGUGACGAAGCGUGAGUGACGGUAAGGGGUAAAGAAGCACCGGCUAACUACGUG
Molecule: ribosomal RNA, 468 nt
Filed under: uncultured bacterium
Lineage: Bacteria
Description: partial 16S ribosomal RNA
Rfam family: Bacterial small subunit ribosomal RNA (bases 48-468)
Source: RNAcentral